UGGGGAAUAUUGCACAAUGGGCGAAAGCCUGAUGCAGCGACGCCGCGUGAGGGAUGACGGCCUUCGGGUUGUAAACCUCUUUCAGUAGGGACGAAGCGCAAGUGACGGUACCUGCAGAAGAAGCACCGGCUAACUACGUGCCAGCAGCCGCGGUAAUACGUAGGGUGCGAGCGUUGUCCGGAAUUACUGGGCGUAAAGAGCUCGUAGGCGGUUUGUCACGUCGUCUGUGAAAUCCUAGGGCUUAACCCUGGACGUGCAGGCGAUACGGGCUGACUUGAGUACUACAGGGGAGACUGGAAUUUCUGGUGUAGCGGUGGAAUGCACAGAUGUCAGGAAGAGCACCGAUGGCGAAGGCAGGUCUCUGGGUAGUAACUGACGCUGAGGAGCGAAAGCAUGGGUAGCGAACAGG
Molecule: ribosomal RNA, 409 nt
Filed under: bacterium
Lineage: Bacteria
Description: partial 16S ribosomal RNA
Rfam family: Bacterial small subunit ribosomal RNA
Source: RNAcentral